AGUCAACAUGGUGUAGUGGUUUGAGCAUUAGACUAUGACUCUAGUGACCAGGGUUCGAAUCCACACUUGGCUA
This is a non-coding RNA of Phrynosoma platyrhinos (Desert horned lizard), 73 nucleotides long. The record is from the annotation of a GenBank genome assembly. NCBI's taxonomy places the organism in Eukaryota, Metazoa, Chordata, Lepidosauria, Squamata, Phrynosomatidae.